UACAGAGGGGGCAAGCGUUGUUCGGAAUUACUGGGCGUAAAGGGCGCGUAGGCGGGAUGGCAAGUCGGUCGUGAAAUCCCUCGGCUCAACCGAGGAACGUCGAUCGAUACUGCUGUUCUUGAGGAUUGCAGAGGAGACUGGAAUUCCCGGUGUAGCGGUGAAAUGUGUAGAGAUCGGGAGGAACACCGGUGGCGAAGGCGGGUCUCUGGGCAAUUCCUGACGCUGAGGCGCGAAAGCGUGGGGAGCAAACGGG
RNAcentral lists this ribosomal RNA (253 nucleotides) under uncultured bacterium. Its description in RNAcentral is "partial 16S ribosomal RNA". It matches the Rfam family "Bacterial small subunit ribosomal RNA", at positions 524 to 776 of the family's 1533-position model. The record is from RNAcentral.